Molecule: ribosomal RNA, 513 nt
Filed under: Triticum aestivum (bread wheat)
Lineage: Eukaryota; Viridiplantae; Streptophyta; Magnoliopsida; Poales; Poaceae
Description: partial small subunit ribosomal RNA
Source: RNAcentral
AUGGGAGCUGGGAUGAAGCGCGCGAGGGAGGAGGAACCAACCGUGCCGCUGGCGCUGUCCCUCAGCACGGACUCGGCGUCUUCCGCCGUGACGUCGGCGGACUCGGGCGCCGCUGGGCCGGCCAAGCGCAGGAGGGGCGUCGUGGUGGCGACGUCGGGGGAGGGGGAGUUCGUGUGCAAGACGUGCGGCCGGGCCUUCGCGACGUUCCAGGCGCUGGGCGGGCACCGGACCAGCCACCUCCGCGGCCGCCACGGGCUGGAGCUCGGUGUCGGCGUCGCCAGGGCAAUCAAGGAACGGAAAAAGCGCGAGGAGAAACAACACCAGUGUCACAUCUGCGGGCUGGGCUUCGAGAUGGGACAGGCGCUCGGGGGGCACAUGAGGCGGCACCGCGAGGAGAUGGCACCACGCCGCGCCGACGAUCGCUGGGUCGCGCUGCUGCCGGAUCAGGAGGUGGCGGGGCAGCAGGCCGCCGCCGACCAGCCGCCGCCCGUCUUGCUCGAGCUGUUCGUCUAG